GGAAGGAUGGCCGAGCGGUUUAAGGCACUGGUCUGAAAACCAGAGAUGGGCAACUAUCCGUGGGUUCGAAUCCUACUCCUUCCGCCA
RNAcentral lists this transfer RNA (87 nucleotides) under Candidatus Liberibacter asiaticus str. gxpsy. RNAcentral describes it as "tRNA-Und (NNN) (tRNA-Und-NNN-1-1)". It matches the Rfam family "tRNA". From Rfam's summary of the family: Transfer RNA (tRNA) molecules are approximately 80 nucleotides in length. The record is from RNAcentral. Lineage: Bacteria; Pseudomonadati; Pseudomonadota; Alphaproteobacteria; Hyphomicrobiales; Rhizobiaceae.